Molecule: ribosomal RNA, 254 nt
Filed under: uncultured bacterium
Lineage: Bacteria
Description: partial 16S ribosomal RNA
Rfam family: Bacterial small subunit ribosomal RNA
Source: RNAcentral
CACGUAGGGGGCAAGCGUUGUCCGGAUUUAUUGGGCGUAAAGAGCUCGUAGGCGGCUUAGUAAGUCGGGUGUGAAACCUCCAGGCUCAACCUGGAGACGCCACCCGAUACUGCUGUGGCUAGAGUCCGGUAGGGGAGCGUGGAAUUCCUGGUGUAGCGGUGAAAUGCGCAGAUAUCGGGAGGAACACCGGUGGCGAAGGCGGGUCUCUGGGCCGAUACUGACGCUGAGGAGCGAAAGCCAGGGGAGCAAACGGG